This is a non-coding RNA of Schistosoma mansoni, 48 nucleotides long. The record is from Rfam. NCBI's taxonomy places the organism in Eukaryota, Metazoa, Platyhelminthes, Trematoda, Strigeidida, Schistosomatidae.
ACCCAGCUGACGAGUCCCAAAUAGGACGAAACGCCCUUCAAACUGGAU